UCGGAACUUGCAUGGGCCAAAAGAACCACCCAUGCACUACCAUACUUGUGCCAAAAAUCGUCACUGAAUGAGUCGCACAUGUAAAUCUCGCUCGGAUAUGGGGAAAUCAUGCCAGAGAAAGGUAUGGAUACGUGGACCUGCGCCUAGCCAAUGAUGCAGUUCUCCUUCUUCUCUUCAUGCACUAUCACGUGUUCUCUCUCUUUGACCUUCUGGUUGUGGGCCACUCUGUCGUACCCCAUGCUGCACGCACUAAAUCAGUCUUGCCAUCGGUCUAGUCUGUUCCCGCUCACUCUCUCUCUCUCUACUCGUUUGACUCUGAUUUUCUUCCUUAUUCCUGAUUUUUUUUCUUUAUUUUUAAUGGACAGGAGGACAGAGAGCCCUAUACGCCUCUUCUUCCUUCUUCUUUGGUGUGUAGGUCUAGGCUU
This 425-nucleotide long non-coding RNA is filed under the name Carica papaya (papaya). RNAcentral describes it as "long non-coding RNA (CPAP_LNC014909)". Lineage: Eukaryota; Viridiplantae; Streptophyta; Magnoliopsida; Brassicales; Caricaceae. The record is from RNAcentral.